Long non-coding RNA from Oncorhynchus tshawytscha (Chinook salmon), 1085 nucleotides. Lineage: Eukaryota; Metazoa; Chordata; Actinopteri; Salmoniformes; Salmonidae. The record is from Ensembl.
AGAGAGAGAGAGAUGUCCUACAUGUCAGAUAGAGAGAGAGAGAGAGAUGUCCUACAUGUCAGAUAGAGAGAGAGAUGUCCUACAUGUCAGAUAGAGAGAGAUGUCCUACAUGUCAGAUAGAGAGAGAGAUGUCCUACAUGUCAGAUAGAGAGAGAGAGAUGUCCUACAUGUCAGAUAGAGAGAGAGAGAUGUCCUACAUGUCAGAUAGAGAGAGAGAGAUGUCCUACAUGUCAGAUAGAGAGAGAGAGAUGUCCUACAUGUCAGAUAGAGAGAGAGAUGUCCUACAUGUCAGAGAGAGAGAGAGAGAUGUCCUACAUGUCAGAGAGAGAGAUGUCCUACAUGUCAGAGAGAGAGAGAGAGAGAGAGAUGUCCUACAUGUCGGAGAGAAAGAGAGAGAGAGAGAUGUCCUACAUGUCAGAGAGAGAGAGAGAGAGAUGUCCUACAUGUCAGAGAGAGAGAGAGAGAGAGAUGUCCUACAUGUCAGAUAGAGAGAGAGAGAGAUGUCCUACAUGUCAGAUAGAGAGAGAGAUGUCCUACAUGUCAGAGAGAGAGAGAUGUUCUACAUGUCAGAUAGAGAGAGAGAGAUAGAGAGAUGUCCUACAUGUCAGAGAGAGAGAGAGAGAGAUGUCCUACAUGUCAGAUAGAGAGAGAGAGAUAGAUGUCCUACAUGUCAGAGAGAGAGAGAGAGAUGUCCUACAUGUCAGAUAGAGAGAGAGAUGUCCUACAUGUCAGAUAGAGAGAGAGAUAGAUGUCCUACAUGUCAGAGAGAGAGAGAUGUCCUACAUGUCAGAGAGAGAGAGAUGUCCUACAUGUCAGAGAGAGAUAGAUGUCCUACAUGUCAGAGAGAGAGAGAUGUCCUACAUGUCAGAUAGAGAGAGAUGUCCUACAUGUCAGAGAGAGAGAGAUGUCCUACAUGUCAGAUAGAGAGAGAUGUCCUACAUGUCAGAUAGAGAGAGAGAGAGAUAGAGAUGUCCUACAUGUCAGAUAGAGAGAGAGAUGUCCUACAUGUCAGAUAGAGAGAGAGAUGUCCUACAUGUCAGAUAGAGAGAGAGAGAGAUGUCCUACAUGUCAGAUAGAGAGAGAGA